AACGAACGCUGGCGGCAUGCCUAACACAUGCAAGUCGAACGAGACCUUCGGGUCUAGUGGCGCACGGGUGCGUAACGCGUGGGAACCUGCCCUUAGGUUCGGAAUAACUCCCCGAAAGGGGUGCUAAUACCGGAUAAUGUCUUCGGACCAAAGAUUUAUCGCCUUUGGAUGGGCCCGCGUUGGAUUAGCUAGUUGGUAGGGUAAAAGCCUACCAAGGCGACGAUCCAUAGCUGGUCUGAGAGGAUGAUCAGCCACACUGGGACUGAGACACGGCCCAGACUCCUACGGGAGGCAGCAGUGGGGAAUAUUGGACAAUGGGCGAAAGCCUGAUCCAGCAAUGCCGCGUGAGUGAUGAAGGCCUUAGGGUUGUAAAGCUCUUUUACCCGGGAUGAUAAUGACAGUACCGGGAGAAUAAGCGCCGGCUAAGUCCGUG
This 433-nucleotide ribosomal RNA is filed under the name uncultured bacterium. RNAcentral's name for it is "partial 16S ribosomal RNA". It matches the Rfam family "Bacterial small subunit ribosomal RNA", at positions 29 to 507 of the family's 1533-position model. The record is from RNAcentral.